GUGUUGUAUGAAAGGAGAGAAAGUUAGCACUCCCCUGGACAAGGUCGGACAACACACAUGGCUGAUGUAGCACACAUAACAUCAGCCCACAUUUUUUU
This 98-nucleotide non-coding RNA is filed under the name Orchesella cincta. The record is from RNAcentral. Lineage: Eukaryota; Metazoa; Arthropoda; Collembola; Entomobryomorpha; Orchesellidae.